CAAUGGCAUGGAUUUGUCCAUGCCAUUGGAAAUUUAUGUUCCAAUUACUUUUUUAACUUGGCGUGGAUGUGUCCAUGCCAUUGUAUAUUUUUGUUCAAAUGACUUUUUUAACUUGGCGUGGACGUGUCCAUGCCAUACAUAAAUAUACAAUGGCAUGGAUUCAACAUGCCAUUGGAAGUUUAUGUUCCAAUUACUUUUUUAACUUGGCGUGGACGUGUCCAUGCCAUUGUAUAUUUGUGUUCGAAUGACUUUUUUAACUUGGCGUGGACGUGUCCAUGCCAUACAUCAAUAUACAAUGGCAUGGGUUUGUCCAUGCCAUUGGAAAUUCAUGUUCCAAUUACUUUUUUAACUUGGCGUGGACGUGUCCAUGCCAUUGUAUAUUUGUGUUUGAAUGACUUUUUUAACUUGGUGUGGACGUGUCCAUGCCAUACAUAAAUAUACAAUGGCAUGGAUUCGCAUGCCAUUGGAAAUUUAUGUUCCAAUUACUUUUUUAACUUGGCGUGGACGUGUCCAUGCCAUUGUAUAUUUGUGUUCGAAUGACUUUUUUAGCUUGGCGUGGACGCGUCCAUGCCAUCAAUGGCAUGGACGAGUCCAUGCCAAGUUAAAUAAAUUUUAAAAAAUUAAUUGGAACAUAAAUAUACAAUGGCAUGGAUCCGUCCAUGCCUUUGGAAAUAUAUGUUCCAAUUAAUUUUUUAAUUUGGCGUGGACGCGUCCAUGCCAUCAAUGGCAUGGACGAGUCGACGCCAAGUUAAAAAAGUAAUCGGAACAUAAAUUUCCAAUGGCAUGGACGGAUCCACGCCAUUGUAUAUUUAGUUCCAAUUACUUUUUUAAUUUGGCGUGGACGUGUCCAUGCCAUUGUAUCUUUGUGUUCGAAUGACUUUUUUAACUUGGCAUGGACGCGUCCAUGCCAUGCAUGUAUAUUUGCAGUUUUCCAAUGACUUUUUAACUUCAUAUGGAUGUGUCCAUGUCAUUUGUUAUGUGUUUUACAUAUUUGUGUUCCAAUGACUUUUUAACUUGUCAAUAUUGUUGCUUUUGGAAUGGUUACAUGGACUUGUUUUGAAAUUAAGGACAUUUUGUUGCUAAUUCUUGUAUAAUAGUGUAA
Molecule: non-coding RNA, 1102 nt
Organism: Paramuricea clavata
Lineage: Eukaryota; Metazoa; Cnidaria; Anthozoa; Malacalcyonacea; Plexauridae
Source: the annotation of a GenBank genome assembly